RNAcentral lists this transfer RNA (69 nucleotides) under Hollardia hollardi. RNAcentral describes it as "tRNA-Arg". It matches the Rfam family "tRNA". From Rfam's summary of the family: Transfer RNA (tRNA) molecules are approximately 80 nucleotides in length. The record is from RNAcentral. Lineage: Eukaryota; Metazoa; Chordata; Actinopteri; Tetraodontiformes; Triacanthodidae.
AGGUAAUUAGUUUAAGAAAAACAUUUGAUUUCGGCUCAAAAGCUUGUGGUUUAAGUCCACAAUAACCUA